RNAcentral lists this ribosomal RNA (604 nucleotides) under uncultured bacterium. Its description in RNAcentral is "bacterial SSU rRNA". It matches the Rfam family "Bacterial small subunit ribosomal RNA", at positions 28 to 599 of the family's 1533-position model. The record is from RNAcentral.
GACGAACGCUGGCGGCGUGCCUAACACAUGCAAGUCGAACGGCCCGACCUGACGGAAUCCUUCGGGAUGAAGACAGGAUGCGGGCAGUGGCGGACGGGUGAGUAACGCGUGGAGAACCUGUCUAUCAGUCCGGGAUAACCUGGCGAAAGUCGGGCUAAUACCGGAUGGCCUUUAGAGAUAGCAUUAUCUUUAAAGGAAAGGUCCUACGGGACUGCUGGAAGGAGGCUCCGCGUCGGAUUAGCUAGCUGGUGGGGUAACGGCUCACCAGGGCGACGAUCCGUAGCUGGUCUGAGAGGACGAUCAGCCACACUGGGACUGAGACACGGCCCAGACUCCUACGGGAGGCAGCAGUGGGGAAUCUUCCGCAAUGGGCGAAAGCCUGACGGAGCAACGCCGCGUGAACGAAGAAGGCCUUCGGGUCGUAAAGUUCUGUCUUCAGGGAAGAACCCUCAUGGGAGGGAAUGCCCAUGAGCUGACGGUACCUGGGGAGGAAGCCCUGGCUAACUACGUGCCAGCAGCCCGCGGUAAUACGUANAGGGCGAGCGUUGUCCGGAAUCACUGGGCGUAAAGGGUACGCAGGCGGAAAUACAAGUCAAAUGUGAAA